This 365-nucleotide ribosomal RNA is filed under the name uncultured eukaryote. RNAcentral's name for it is "partial 18S ribosomal RNA". It matches the Rfam family "Eukaryotic small subunit ribosomal RNA", at positions 592 to 976 of the family's 1831-position model. The record is from RNAcentral.
CAAUAGCGUAUAUUUAAGUUGUUGCAGUUAAAAAGCUCGUAGUCGGAUUUUGGCUGAGAACGAACGGUCCGCCGUUAGGUGUGCACUGUUUGGUCUCAGCUUCCUGGUGAGGAGGUGUGCUUCACGGCCACUUAGUCACCGUGGUUACUUUGAAAAAAUUAGAGUGUUCAAAGCGGGCUUACGCUUGAAUAUAUUAGCAUGGAAUAACACCAUAGGACUCCUGUCCUAUUUCGUUGGUCUCGGGACGGGAGUAAUGAUUAAGGGGAACAGUUGGGGGCAUUCGUAUUUCAUUGUCAGAGGUGAAAUUCUUGGAUUUAUGAAAGACGAACUUCUGCGAAAGCAUUUGCCAAGGAUGUUUUCAUUGA